GAUGAACGCUGGCGGCGUGCCUAAUACAUGCAGGUCGAGCGAACAGAUGAGGAGCUUGCUCCUCUGACGUUAGCGGCGGACGGGCGAGUAACACGUGGAUAACCUACCUAUAAGACUGGGAUAACUUCGGGAAACCGGAGCUAAUACCGGAUAAUAUAUUGAACCGCAUGGUUCAAUAGUGAAAGACGGUUUUGCUGUCACUUAUAGAUGGAUCCGCGCCGCAUUAGCUAGUUGGUAAGGUAACGGCUUACCAAGGCAACGAUGCGUAGCCGACCUGAGAGGGUGAUCGGCCACACUGGGACUGAGACACGGUCCAGACUCCUACGGGAGGCAGCAGUAGGGAAUCUUCCGCAAUGGGCGAAAGCCUGACGGAGCAACGCCGCGUGAGUGAUGAAGGUCUUCGGAUCGUAAAACUCUGUUAUUAGGGAAGAACAAAUGUGUAAGUAACUAUGCACGUCUUGACGGUACCUAAUCAGAAAGCCACGGCUAACUACGUG
This 497-nucleotide ribosomal RNA is filed under the name uncultured bacterium. RNAcentral describes it as "partial 16S ribosomal RNA". It matches the Rfam family "Bacterial small subunit ribosomal RNA", at positions 28 to 507 of the family's 1533-position model. The record is from RNAcentral.